UUAAAAUAAGUUUUAAUAGACAUUUUUAAUAGGCUCAAGGUGCAGAGGCGGUGGUUAUGCUCGUUACACCGGCACGAGUGAGGACAUCAGUGGCCAUAUGAUCGAGUCCCCCCUCCAGGAGUUGGAGCGGAACAUCUCAACCUCUAUCCUGAAAUGUGCAGCACCCCAGCCCCCCGCCCCAUGAGGCGUUUAUCAUAAUCACCACAGGACUGGUCCAAGGAGCUCAAGGAUGAAGGUGCUCUGAACAUGAGGAAAUAGGUCACAGGGGUCUUAGGAACUUGUAUCUGUAGCCCAUGUUUUUUGAUGUGGAAAGAAGGGGGUGGGGGUGUUUAAUGCAACGCAACAAGUCUAAAGUAUGGUUGCCAGCGGGUUUCUUCUGUCAUCAAAUACUUGCACCUGGACACUUGCCCUAGCCGUUCUCUCUC
Molecule: long non-coding RNA, 425 nt
Filed under: Rattus norvegicus (Norway rat)
Lineage: Eukaryota; Metazoa; Chordata; Mammalia; Rodentia; Muridae
Description: long non-coding RNA NONRATT012210
Source: RNAcentral